CGACGAGUUCUCGUUGAUGAUCGGUGCUUGCACCGAGAUUCAACAUGGAACGAGUGGCGGACGGGUGAGUAACACGUGGGUAACCUGCCCUUAAGUGGGGGAUAACAUUUGGAAACAGAUGCUAAUACCGCAUAGAUCCAAGAACCGCAUGGUUCUUGGCUGAAAGAUGGCGUAAGCUAUCGCUUUUGGAUGGACCCGCGGCGUAUUAGCUAGUUGGUGAGGUAAUGGCUCACCAAGGCGAUGAUACGUAGCCGAACUGAGAGGUUGAUCGGCCACAUUGGGACUGAGACACGGCCCAAACUCCUACGGGAGGCAGCAGUAGGGAAUCUUCCACAAUGGACGCAAGUCUGAUGGAGCAACGCCGCGUGAGUGAAGAAGGCUUUCGGGUCGUAAAACUCUGUUGUUGGAGAAGAAUGGUCGGCAGAGUAACUGUUGUCGGCGUGACGGUAUCCAACCAGAAAGCCACGGCUAACUACGUGCCAGCAGCCGCGGUAAUACGUAGGUGGCAAGCGUUAUCCGGAUUUAUUGGGCGUAAAGCGAGCGCAGGCGGUUUUUUAAGUCUGAUGUGAAAGCCCUCGGCUUAACCGAGGAAGCGCAUCGGAAACUGGGAAACUUGAGUGCAGAAGAGGACAGUGGAACUCCAUGUGUAGCGGUGAAAUGCGUAGAUAUAUGGAAGAACACCAGUGGCGAAGGCGGCUGUCUGGUCUGUAACUGACGCUGAGGCUCGAAAGCAUGGGUAGCGAACAGGAUUAGAUACCCUGGUAGUC
This 767-nucleotide ribosomal RNA is filed under the name uncultured bacterium. Its description in RNAcentral is "bacterial SSU rRNA". It matches the Rfam family "Bacterial small subunit ribosomal RNA", at positions 64 to 795 of the family's 1533-position model. The record is from RNAcentral.